GACGAACGCUGGCGGCGUGCUUAACACAUGCAAGUCGAACGAUGAAGCCGGAGCUUGCUCUGGUGAAUUAGUGGCGAACGGGUGAGUAACACGUGAGUAACCUGCCCUUGACUCUGGGAUAACUGCUAGAAAUGGUAGCUAAUACCGGAUACGACCCUCGGAGGCAUCUCCAGGGGGUGGAAAGAAUUUCGGUCAAGGAUGGACUCGCGGCCAAUAAGCUAGUUGGUGAGGUAACGGCUCACCAAGGCGACGACGGGUAGCCGGCCUGAGAGGGUGGCCGGCCACACUGGGACUGAGACACGGCCCAGACGACUACGGGAGGCAGCAGUGGGGAAUAUUGCACAAUGGGCGCAAGCCUGAUGCAGCAACGCCGCGUGAGGGAUGACGGCCUUCGGGUUGUAAACCUCUUUUAGUAGGGAAGAAGCGAAAGUGACGGUACCUGCAGAAAAAGCACCGGCUAACUACGUGCCAGCAGCCGCCGCCG
Molecule: ribosomal RNA, 484 nt
Filed under: uncultured bacterium
Lineage: Bacteria
Description: partial 16S ribosomal RNA
Rfam family: Bacterial small subunit ribosomal RNA
Source: RNAcentral